CAGAGAUCCCACAUAGGUCAUGAUCACCAGUAAUAUCAGAGAUACUUUUCUCUUUGGAAUUAGGCUAAUAAACAGUAUAAUCCAAACAAAAUGAGUGUAAUAUAGUGCAAAAUGGUUCAGGUUUCUGAUGAUUCUUAGAACAGCUGCUUCUGGGCUUGAAGGGAUUUUGAAGGGACAUACCAGUUUGAAUUCUGCAAACUUGAAGUCGUUCCAGUUUGUUCCGAUUGUUGAAGAUAUCGGCUCACCGGGAUCAACCAUCGAGGCAGAUCUUGUGGUGGCGCUUGGCCUCUGAAUUGCUCCAUUGCUAGCCAUGUUUCUUGAUUAGAGAGAGAGCAUCCAAAAUUUUGAAAGCAUGUGCUCUUGGAUAAAGGUUGCCAA
This 378-nucleotide unclassified non-coding RNA is filed under the name Hevea brasiliensis (rubber tree). Lineage: Eukaryota; Viridiplantae; Streptophyta; Magnoliopsida; Malpighiales; Euphorbiaceae. The record is from RNAcentral.